AAGUCGUAACAAGGUUUCCGUAGGUGAACCUGCGGAAGGAUCAUUAUUGAAUUAAUAAAAGUGAGCUUUCAAUUGGUGGCUGACGCUGAUGGUCAAACAUAUGUGCUCGCCACCAUGAGGGGGUUCAUUUUUUAUUAACCUUCUUUCCACCUGUGCACUCUUGUAGAUAUUGGAGGUCAUCUCUCAGGCAGCAAUAUGCUUGGUUUGGAGUUUGCGGGCUUCAUUUAUUUGAAGUUAGCUUUCUCUGUCGACCUUCAGUGUCUAUUUUACAUAUACCCUUGAAAUAAGUUAUAGAAGGACUUGAUUGGGCUCUUAAUGCCUAUAAAUCAAUAAUACAACUUUCAGCAACGGAUCUCUUGGCUCUC
RNAcentral lists this unclassified non-coding RNA (365 nucleotides) under Cyathus crassimurus. Its description in RNAcentral is "partial internal transcribed spacer region". The stretch from base 1 to 46 matches the Rfam family "Eukaryotic small subunit ribosomal RNA", at positions 1786 to 1831 of the family's 1831-position model. Lineage: Eukaryota; Fungi; Basidiomycota; Agaricomycetes; Agaricales; Nidulariaceae. The record is from RNAcentral.